RNAcentral lists this ribosomal RNA (625 nucleotides) under Riemerella anatipestifer. RNAcentral's name for it is "bacterial SSU rRNA". It matches the Rfam family "Bacterial small subunit ribosomal RNA", at positions 608 to 1243 of the family's 1533-position model. The record is from RNAcentral. Lineage: Bacteria; Pseudomonadati; Bacteroidota; Flavobacteriia; Flavobacteriales; Weeksellaceae.
UUUAACUUAGAACUGCCGUUGAUACUGCUAGUCUUGAGUAUAGUUGAGGUAGCUGGAAUGAGUAGUGUAGCGGUGAAAUGCAUAGAUAUUACUCAGAACACCGAUUGCGAAGGCAGGUUACCAAGUUAUAACUGACGCUGAGGGACGAAAGCGUGGGGAGCGAACAGGAUUAGAUACCUGGUAGUCCACGCCGUAAACGAUGCUAACUCGUUUUUGGGCUUUAGGGUUCAGAGACUAAGCGAAAGUGAUAAGUUAGCCACCUGGGGAGUACGACCGCAAGGUUGAAACUCAAAGGAAUUGACGGGGGCCCGCACAAGCGGUGGAUCAUGUGGUUUAAUUCGAUGAUACGCGAGGAACCUUACCAAGGCUUAAAUGGGAAUUGACAGCUGUAGAAAUACGGUUUUCUUCGGACAAUUUUCAAGGUGCUGCAUGGUUGUCGUCAGCUCGUGCCGUGAGGUGUUAGGUUAAGUCCUGCAACGAGCGCAACCCCUGUCACUAGUUGCCAUCAUUAAGUUGGGGACUCUAGUGAGACCGCCUACGCAAGUAGAGAGGAAGGUGGGGAUGACGUCAAAUCAUCACGGCCCUUACGCCUUGGGCCACACACGUGAUACAAUGGCCGUACAGA